GGAAGUAAAAGUCGUAACAAGGUUUCCGUAGGUGAACCUGCGGAAGGAUCAUUACCUAGAGUUGUAGGCUUUGCCUGCUAUCUCUUACCCAUGUCUUUUGAGUACCUUACGUUUCCUCGGUGGGUUCGCCCACCGAUUGGACAAAUUUAAACCCUUUGCAGUUGAAAUCAGCGUCUGAAAAAACUUAAUAGUUACAACUUUCAACAACGGAUCUCUUGGUUCUGGCAUCGAUGAAGAACGCAGCGAAAUGCGAUAAGUAGUGUGAAUUGCAGAAUUCAGUGAAUCAUCGAAUCUUUGAACGCACAUUGCGCCCCUUGGUAUUCCAUGGGGCAUGCCUGUUCGAGCGUCAUUUGUACCUUCAAGCUCUGCUUGGUGUUGGGUGUUUGUCUCCUGUAGACUCGCCUUAAAACAAUUGGCAGCCGGCGUAUUGAUUUCGGAGCGCAGUACAUCUCGCGCUUUGCACUCAUAACGACGACAUCCAAAAGUACAUUUUUACACUCUUGACCUCGGAUCAGGUAGGGAUACCCGCUGAACUUAAGCAUAUCAAUAAGCGGAGGA
Molecule: ribosomal RNA, 558 nt
Filed under: Ascomycota sp. JY9
Lineage: Eukaryota; Fungi; Ascomycota
Also listed under: 1 other name
Description: eukaryotic LSU rRNA
Rfam family: 5.8S ribosomal RNA (bases 196-349)
Source: RNAcentral